UGUGUUGUAAGUGUUUAAGGGCGCAUGGUGGAUGCCUUGGCACUAGGAGCCGAUGAAGGACGUGGGAGA
Molecule: ribosomal RNA, 69 nt
Filed under: Mycolicibacterium duvalii
Lineage: Bacteria; Bacillati; Actinomycetota; Actinomycetes; Mycobacteriales; Mycobacteriaceae
Description: partial 23S ribosomal RNA
Source: RNAcentral